This 1152-nucleotide long non-coding RNA is filed under the name Takifugu rubripes (torafugu). RNAcentral's name for it is "lncRNA (ENSTRUG00000027037.1)". The record is from RNAcentral. Lineage: Eukaryota; Metazoa; Chordata; Actinopteri; Tetraodontiformes; Tetraodontidae.
UGUCAUCAACGUGUGACCCGUGUCUGUGUGUUCAGUGGGACGCCUCACUUCCUUCACAUUAAGGGUGUGGAGGUGAACGCUGGGCAGACGGCCACGUUUCACUGUACGGUCAACGGGCGCCCGCAGAGCGACCUGCUGCUCUACCUCCAGGUACGAUCACCAUCACCAUCACCAUCACCAUCACGAUCACGAUCACGAUCACGAUCACGAUCACCAUCACCAUCACCAUCACCAUCACCACCACGAUCACGAUCACGAUCACCAUCACCAUCACCAUCACGAUCACGAUCACCAUCACCAUCACCAUCACCACCACGAUCACCAUCACGAUCACGAUCACGAUCACCAUCACCAUCACCAUCACCAUCACGAUCACCAUCACCAUCACGAUCACGAUCACCAUCACCAUCACCAUCACCAUCACCACCACGAUCACCAUCACGAUCACGAUCACGAUCACCAUCACCAUCACCAUCACGAUCACCAUCACCAUCACCAUCACGAUCAUCACCCAUCACCCAUCACCAUCACCAUCACCCAUCACCCAUCACCCAUCACCCAUCACCAUCACCAUCACCAUCACGAUCAUCACCCAUCACCCAUCACCAUCACCAUCACCAUCACGAUCACGAUCACGAUCACAUCACCAUCACCAUCACAUCACGAUCACGAUCACGAUCACGAUCACCAUCACCAUCACCAUCACCACCACGAUCACCAUCACGAUCACGAUCACGAUCACCAUCACCAUCACCAUCACCAUCACGAUCACCAUCACCAUCACGAUCACCAUCACCAUCACCAUCACCAUCACCCACCACGAUCACCAUCACGAUCACGAUCACGAUCACCAUCACCAUCACCAUCACGAUCACCAUCACCAUCACCAUCACGAUCAUCACCCAUCACCCAUCACCAUCACCAUCACCAUCACCCAUCACCCAUCACCAUCACCCAUCACCAUCACCAUCACCAUCACGAUCAUCACCCAUCACCCAUCACCAUCACCAUCACCAUCACCAUCACCAUCACCCAUCACCCAUCACCAUCACCAUCACGAUCACGAUCACCAUCACCAUCACCCUCACCCUCACCCUCACCAUCACCAUCACCAUCACCACCAUCACCAUCACCCAUCACCCAUCACCCAUC